GACGAACGCUGGCGGCGUGCUUAACACAUGCAAGUCGAACGGGCCUGUCUUCUUUUUUGGGGGUGGGUUGAGUGGCGAACGGGUGAGUAUCACGUGAGUAACCUGCCCUUCGGUCCUGGAUAACCGCUUGAAAGGGCGGCUAAUACGGGGUGGUCCGGUUGGUCCGCAUGGGCUGGUCGGGAUAGAUUCACUGUUUUUGGUGUUUCGGCGGGGGAUGGGCUCGCGGCCUAUCAGCUUGUUGGUGGGGUGAUGGCCUACCAAGGCGGUGACGGGUAGCCGGGCUGGGGGGGUGGGCGGCCACACUGGGACUGAGGUACGGCCCAGAGUCCUGCGGGAGGCAGCAGUGGGGGGUAUUGCACAGUGGGCGGAAGCCUGAUGCAGCGACGUCGCGUGAGGGAUGGAGGCGUUCGGGUUGUGAACCUCUGUUUCCGGUGGUGAAGGCCCUGUCCGUGUGGUGGGGUUGACGGUAGCCGGGGAUGAAGCGCCGGCUAACUACGUG
This 499-nucleotide ribosomal RNA is filed under the name uncultured bacterium. RNAcentral's name for it is "partial 16S ribosomal RNA". It matches the Rfam family "Bacterial small subunit ribosomal RNA", at positions 28 to 507 of the family's 1533-position model. The record is from RNAcentral.